This 1444-nucleotide ribosomal RNA is filed under the name Pantoea sp. Its description in RNAcentral is "bacterial SSU rRNA". It matches the Rfam family "Bacterial small subunit ribosomal RNA". The record is from RNAcentral. Lineage: Bacteria; Pseudomonadati; Pseudomonadota; Gammaproteobacteria; Enterobacterales; Erwiniaceae.
GAUGCCGUCAGCCUACCAUGCAAGUCGGACGGUAGCACAGAGAACUUGGUCUCUCGUGAGAAGAGUGGGACACGUGAGUAAUGUGUGGGGAUCUGCCCCAUAUAGGGGGAUAACCCCUGUGGACGGUGGGUAAUACCGCAUAACGUCUCAAGACACAAGAGGGGGACCUUCUGGCCUCUCACUAUCUGAUGAGCCCCCAUGGGAUUUUCUCUUAUGCGGGGUAACGGCCCCCCUAUGCGACAAUACCUAUCUGGGCUGAGAGGAUGACCACCCCCACUGUGACUGAGACACGGUCCCCACUCCCACGGGAGGCGCCACUGGGGAAUAUUGUGCACUGGGCGCAAGCCUGAGGCGCCCAUGCGCCGUGUGUGAAAAAAGCCUUCUGGUUGUGAAGUACUUUCUCCGCGGAGAAAAGCGAUAUGGUUAAUAUCCCCGUUGAUUGUGAUUUCCCGCACAAAAAACACCGGCUAACUCCCUGCCACCACCCGCGGUAAUACAGAGGGUGCGAGCGUUAUUCUCAAUUACUGGGCGUAAAGCGCACACACGCGGUCUGUUAAAUCUCAUAUGAAAUCUCCGGGCUCAUCAUGUGAACUGCAUUUGAAACUGGCACGGUUGAGUCUCGUAGAGGGGGGUAGAAUUCCAGGUGUAGCGGUGAAAUGCGUAGAGAUCUGGAGGAAUACCGGUGGCGAAGGCGGCCCCCUGGACGAAGACUGACGCUCAGGUGCGAAAGCGUGGGGAGCAAACAGGAUUAGAUACCCUGGUAGUCCACGCCGUAAACGAUGUCGACUUGGAGGUUGUUCCCUUGAGGAGUGGCUUCCGGAGCUAACGCGUUAAGUCGACCGCCUGGGGAGUACGGCCGCAAGGUUAAAACUCAAAUGAAUUGACGGGGGCCCGCACAAGCGGUGGAGCAUGUGGUUUAAUUCGAUGCAACGCGAAGAACCUUACCUACUCUUGACAUCCAGAGAAUUUAGCAGAGAUGCUUUGGUGCCUUCGGGAACCGUGAGACAGGUGCUGCAUGGCUGUCGUCAGCUCGUGUUGUGAAAUGUUGGGUUAAGUCCCGCAACGAGCGCAACCCUUAUCCUUUGUUGCCAGCGAUUCGGUCGGGAACUCAAAGGAGACUGCCGGUGAUAAACCGGAGGAAGGUGGGGAUGACGUCAAGUCAUCAUGGCCCUUACGAGUAGGGCUACACACGUGCUACAAUGGCGCAUACAAAGAGAAGCGACCUCGCGAGAGCAAGCGGACCUCAUAAAGUGCGUCGUAGUCCGGAUCGGAGUCUGCAACUCGACUCCGUGAAGUCGGAAUCGCUAGUAAUCGUGGAUCAGAAUGCCACGGUGAAUACGUUCCCGGGCCUUGUACACACCGCCCGUCACACCAUGGGAGUGGGUUGCAAAAGAAGUAGGUAGCUUAACCUUCGGGAGGGCGCCUACCACCUUGGGAUUACGGG